GUUCCAGAGGAAUGCAGAGCUUGACCCAGAAAAGAGACUGUACCCAGGUGGGAGCUACUUCGACCCUCUUGGUUUAGCCUCAGACCCAGAGAAGAAAGCCACUCUUCAAUUGGCAGAGAUCAAGCACGCACGUCUUGCCAUGGUGGGCUUCUUGGGCUUUGCAGUCCAAGCUGCUGCCACUGGCAAGGGCCCACUCAACAACUGGGCCACCCACUUGAGUGACCCACUUCACACAACCAUCAUUGACACCUUCUCCUCGUCUUCUUAAGAAAAAAGUCUUGUGCCUCGUGGGUAAAUUGUAAACGUCUUUCGGCUUUGGGUUGUAAUUAAUCAAACAUUUCACUUAUAGCUGGUA
This 355-nucleotide long non-coding RNA is filed under the name Vigna radiata. RNAcentral's name for it is "long non-coding RNA (VRAD_LNC010056)". The record is from RNAcentral. Lineage: Eukaryota; Viridiplantae; Streptophyta; Magnoliopsida; Fabales; Fabaceae.